GACAGAGGUCUCGAGCGUUAGGCGGAAUCACUGGGCUUAAAGCGUGUGUAGGCGGACUUGUAAGUACCUUGUGAAAUCCCACGGCUCAACCGUGGAACUGCUUGGUAUACUGCUUGUCUUGGGCCGUCUAGGGGUUACCGGAACAAACGGUGGAGCGGUGAAAUGCGUAGAUAUCGUUUGGAACGCCAAUGGUGAAAACAGGUAACUGGGGAUGUGCCGACGCUGAGACACGAAAGCCAGGGGAGCGAACGGG
This 253-nucleotide ribosomal RNA is filed under the name uncultured bacterium. Its description in RNAcentral is "partial 16S ribosomal RNA". It matches the Rfam family "Bacterial small subunit ribosomal RNA", at positions 524 to 776 of the family's 1533-position model. The record is from RNAcentral.